RNAcentral lists this long non-coding RNA (3083 nucleotides) under Salvia miltiorrhiza (redroot sage). RNAcentral's name for it is "long non-coding RNA (SMIL_LNC006108)". Lineage: Eukaryota; Viridiplantae; Streptophyta; Magnoliopsida; Lamiales; Lamiaceae. The record is from RNAcentral.
UAAUUUAGGGGCGCAGUACUAGAUAUUCACUGUUUUUCCUUCAACUGAGAUUGAUCAUGGCGGCCUACGCAGCCUUGGUUUCUCUCAUGCAUAUCAUCGAUAAAAUCGCGCAUCAUCCUUCCCCUCCAAUUUUUAUCCACAAACAACAAGCUGAAUCUCUCAAUGAAAUUAUCACCUUCUUGCAGGAAUUUCUCGAAGCCUAUUACCCCCCUUUUAGCUGCAGCGAUGAAGCAGAUCCGUUGGAGAUGCGUAUUGCAGAUGCAGCUUAUGCAGCUGAAGAUGCUAUUGAAUCACAUAUUGUGGACGUGAUUAAACUGUGUAGAUCUAGUUCCAGUGUAGUCAAUUCUAGAGACGAAGUCAGUUCCAUUCAAAAUCUAUAACAAGUGAUGGAAGAAAUGAAAUCCCUAACUCAAAUUGUUACCUUCUUGCAGGAAUUUCUAGAAGGCUCCCUUUCCGGCUACUGCGAUGAAGCAGAUCCGUUGGAGAUGCCUAUUGUAGAUGCAGCUCGUGCGGCUGAAGAAGUGAAUUCUGGAGAGGAAGUCAGUUGCAUCGACUUCUAUCGAGAUCUGCAACAAGUGAUAGAAGAAAUGAAUGUGAUCAAGAAAGAAGCCAUGGAGACUUCAGCUGAAGCUCAGAUGCAAAGAAAGGUCUCCUCGACUCAUGCUGGCUCCUUCACGUCCUCUUCCACUGUGAAGGAAAGCGUGAUGGUGGGCUUUGAUGAUGUGAAACUUCAACUCUUGGAUAAGCUCGUUGGAGGGCACCGCAGUCGCCAAAUCAUCCCUAUUAUAGGGAUGGGCGGGAUUGGUAAGACCACUCUUGCCCGGAAUAUAUUUGAGCAUGCGCUUGUGAAGGAGCAUUUUGAUCUUCGUUCUUGGGUUACAAUUUCUGAAACUUAUAAUGUUAGCGAAACACUUAGACAAGUUCUUUACCAAGUAGGUGGGGGUUCGGGUAGUGAGAACGAAUUGGGAGUGAAAUUACAUAAGCAUUUAUUUGGUAGGAGGUAUCUCAUAAUACUGGAUGAUAUGUGGGAUGUAGAGGCGUGGGACCAGAUGAGGGUUUCCUUUCCUGAUAACAAUAAUGGGAGUCGAGUGAUCGUAACAACUAGGCAAUGGAAAUUGGCUGCCGUGUUGACAGACUCUAACACCAUUGGUAUGAGACUUUUAGAUGGUGUUAGUAGCUGGAAUUUGUUCUCCAAAACUGUAUUUGGAGAACAAAGUUUCCCUCCUCAAUUCGAGGAGAUUGGAAAGAAAAUUGUGAAAAAGUGUAAUGGACUUCCUUUGUCCAUUGCUGUGAUUGGGGGUCUUUUGGCGAAGUCGGAACUUACACUGGAAUAUUGGGAGCACAUAGGGAAAAACUUAAUCUCAAUAGUGAAUUCAGAGAAUGAUGAGUAUUACUUGAGAGCAUUGAAACUAAGCUAUGACCAUUUGCCUGCCUAUCUGAAGCCUUGUUUUUUGUAUAUGGGAGUGCUUGAGGAAGAUCGUGUCGUUAAAGUCUCAACACUCGUCGAGCUAUGGGUUUCUGAAGGAUUUCUUAAACCGAUAAUCAAUAAAAGCUUGGAAACAGUUGCCGACGAUUAUCUCAAGGAGCUAGUUGAGAGAAACCUCAUUCUUGUUCAUGAGUUGGGGUCACUUGGGAAUAUAAAGCGCUGCAAAAUGCAUGAUCUACUGAGAGAUCUAUCUUUGAAAGAGGCUCAAAAGCAGAGGUUUUAUUAUGUCUUAAGACAGCGUUGUCCUCGAGGCAUAGAUAGCCAACGCCGCAUUGUUAUUCCCGAAAGUACUUCAAAUAAAAGAGUUUGUAAUACCUUGGAACCUAUGCCACUUGUUCGUUCUUGUGUAUGUGGUAGUCAUCAAGUUCCGCAGUUUCUAAAUUGUAGAUUGUUUAGGACACUGGCUAUAUGUGCGGAUCCAGAUGAGUAUUACUUACAAGGUAUAUUUCAAUUGGUGAACUUGAGGUACCUUUACUUUCGAUUUCGUGAGAGCUUCCAAAUCCCUUCUUCAAUCACUAUGUUCUGGAAUCUACAUACACUAAUUGUAGAUUAUCGAAAUUUUCUUAGCGUACCAAUAGAAAUUUGGAAAAUGCAUCAGCUUAAGCAUGCCGUAUUUUAUGGGAUGUAUCUCCCAGAUCCUCCGAGCAGCCAUAGUGAUGAUAUCGUUAUCAUGGAGAAUCUAGAGAUGCUCAAACGAGUGAUCGAUUUCAACUUGAAUGAAGAAGUGGUUAAAAGGAUUCCCAAUAUCAAGAAAUUGGAAAUAAGUUACUUGACAAAACUGAUGGACAGAUUGAAGUGCCUCAGCUAUCUUCAAUGUCUGAGUAAGCUGGAAAACUUGAGGUGCUAUACUGAUGAUGAAAGUGAUGAGUAUCUGCAGAGUAUCACCUUCCCACACUCACUUAGGAAGCUGUAUCUUCGAUGCGGAAAGUUCCCUUUGGAGGAAGUUCUGGAAAAGAUAGGUUCGUUACCACUACUUGAGAAGCUCACAUUGGGUUAUGGGCAGUUUGCAACACGCAGUUGGGAAAUAGUUGAAGGCCAAUUCCCCUGCCUCAAAUACAUGAGAUUGUAUUUAUGUGCGGAUAUGGAACGUUGGACGUUAGAGGGCUCCUGCUUGCCGCGCCUUGAGCAACUUCAUCUCUCAUCCAUGAAGUCAUUGGAGGAGUUCCCUUUAGAAAUUGGAGAAAUACCAACACUCAGAUCAAUUGGAUUGUAUGACUGCAGUGAAUCAAUGGCUAUGUCUUUGAAAACGAUAGUAGAGGAACAAGAGGACUUACAAGGGGACCUAUCCUUUCAUGUUCAAGUUACGUCACGCGACGUCAGCCAAGAACUACAAAGCUCGGCAACUCCCAACUUUCGUGUAAUCAAAUCUAAUUAAACUACUUGUAGUUUGAUUACUGUUUUGAGUUAUUCAGUUGUGGGAUUACUAUCUUUGAGUGGUUAAUGUUCUAUAUCUCUCUCUCUUCCUUCUUCUAAGUGCCGGAUUAUGGUUUCUUUUCAUUUUAGUGGGAUUACUAUUUUGAGUGGUUAAUGUUCUAUUCAGUUGUGGGAUUACUGUUUUGAGUGGUUAAUGUACUAUUUUAAGCUUCAACUUUUAAUA